This 2616-nucleotide long non-coding RNA is filed under the name Triticum aestivum (bread wheat). RNAcentral describes it as "long non-coding RNA (TAES_LNC006937)". Lineage: Eukaryota; Viridiplantae; Streptophyta; Magnoliopsida; Poales; Poaceae. The record is from RNAcentral.
CGCCCUUUUGUUGUUGCUUCGGAUGAUGAUUAAUUGUUGUUUUGCGGGUUUUGGUCUGCAGGGGCAAUGCGGAUCAUGUGAUUUAUGCGUGCGCGGCUGUGGGUCGCACCGUUUAUCUGCUGCUUUGAGGUGAGAUGGCAGGGUUAACGUAGCAUUUCCGGCAUGUUUGUUGUGUCUUUCGGGGCGUUGAUUUUUUGUCUACUGCAACUUGCAUUGGUGCUUAGAAUGGGAAAUUAAGAGGUGGGCUUUGUGAGUGGACAAGGAAAUAGGGCAUGUAUUUGCACACGCGUCCAAUCAAUAUUUACUGAGUUUAGUGCGUGAUCAAGGUUGACUAAGCUUAGAAUAUAUGUCUAUGUCAUUCAUCCCAUAGAACUGUUUACUACUAUAUGCCACAGGUUACUUACAACAGAACAGUAAAAUGUGCAAAAAAAACGUAGCCACUCAUCGAGUGUUUGUGCUAUCAAAAAGUAUUCUUCUUCUUUUAUCUAUCUGUUCUCUCCUGCCAUUGUUCUGUUCCUUGCAUUCCCCAUUUUGUUCAAAUUGCACCGUUGAUUGAUAAUAACGCGCCUUUCAAUCCUGGUCAUUCCAGCAGCCAGCUUGGAUGGUAUUUAAGCUAAGGAGUUGUAUAAAGGUAACAUCUGAACCUCUUCUCUAUCAAACCAUGGCCUUGUCAUAUUUAAAAACUUAUAUUAUGAGCUGAAUGAUGUAACAUGACUUCUACAUGAAUUUUUGUGACGGAGCUAUCUCAAUUAGAAUACAAGAUUGGUGGCUCUCACUUCCUACAGGGAUUAUAUACCUCUGUUCUUACCUAGCUAUGAAACUGAGCUAGGUAGUAAGAAUUUUUGGUGACCCUCAGAUGGAAGACUGAGUUUGCAAUUCUUGACUAAAUUUGCAACUAAAAUGUACCUAUGAACGAUAUUGUUGAAGCAGGUUUCUCGGACGUCUACAUUAGAAGUACACAAUAAGAAAUUUAAGUCUUGGAUUCACUCAUAGCUAAGUUUGUUUUGAUCAACUUGAAUGAUUCGUGUCAUAGCUAUGCUAAGAUAUUAGUACAUGCUAAAGGGGGUUGUUAACUGUUAACUUUAUGUAUUUUAGUUUUACUUUAUUGAAUGGCCACAUGAAAUUCCCCCAUAAAUUUUAUUGAUGUGAAUUGGUUAUGUGGUAUCUGUAUGAACACCCCAGUUUUUCUACAGUAGAAACAAAAUAUGUUGUCAACUAUGAAAAUAUAAGAAUUUCUGCAUUGUUUUGAGAAGGAAUAUUUUAUCUUCCUAGUCAGUGUUUGGUGUUCCCCAUCCGCUACAGAUCUGUUUCAGGCCCCUACUGCAGAAUGGUGGAGAGGGAGCAGGCUUUGGAAACUCAUGUUUUUGCUUGGGAUUAAAUUUUUGGUCGUCUGAGAGGUUUAGAAGCUGCUAGGUACGUGCUAAUUAGCUCAUGGUGUGUGCUGAUUAACCUGUUGCCUUAGAUUUUAAGCUUUUGCUGUGACUCAAGGUUAUCUUUGAGCUUUCUCCUUUUGCAUGAAUUUAAGAUGUUGCUGAAGGCUAAGGCUAUUCCUAUUGACAAAUUAAUGAGAAUUACCCAUAAUUUGGCAUUCUAAAAAUAUGUGAAUUUUAUUUUGAGUGAAAUGAUUGCUAUAUCGAUAUGCAUACAUAAUUUUUACUUAUGACUUCCCUUCUGUCAACGGUUACCCUCUAUAGAAUUAUGUAAACUCCUUUGGUAUCCCCAUAAACAUUGUUGAUCUAUGUCCAGUUUAUUUACCUAAUGUAUGAUUGCACUGUUCAUGGCUGUCAGGCUAUAUCCAACAUGAAGCUUUGAUGCUCCUGCAGAUGGCGGCAAUGUAAUUACUCAAGGCUACAACUAACUACAUUCACCUGUCCUUGGUCAAAUUGUAAUACACUAACCUAUCAGUCUCCAGUAAUAAUAGUAAACACUAGCAGUAACAAGGAACCUGAGCACAAGGACAACAAUAAUGAAAGUGAUAACAGAGGAAUGCAGAUCUUUCCUACGUUUUGAUGCACAACCUUCCCUCCAACUUGUUCAUAUCAUAGUAUAUUUGUUACACUACGCAUGCCUUACGGUAGAUUUGGACGGGAAGAAUGAAAGACCACCAAAGGAUCAUUAGAGGGAGGUGUUUUAAAGACGUUUAGACUUCUGGUAUGCCAAUAUGGAUUAUAAAUUUAUAAUACAAGGUGAUACUAAUAGUUUUCUGGAACAUAUGCAGACCACCUAAUGAGGAGACCAAAGGGUUGCUAACCUGGGAAAGUUACAGUUGUUUAUCUUCUUCCCAUCGUACCUCCUCCAUUGGUGGUCGUAGUUGUGCGGUGCAAAGGUAUCCACCUUCCUCGAUGGCUUCUCCACACAGGUCCAUCAGGAGGAAGAUCAAAGAUGAAAGUAAGCUAUUAGAUUGUUUUUCUUCAUAUGGGAUAUUUUAUUGAAUUGUUCCCUACGCUCCAUUGCUUUUCAGCAAUUCUAUACUCAACGAUGAUUUGGUGUCACUCUACCACAUCAAUAUAUGUGAUCCUAUAGCUAAAGCUUUCAGCAUAUGUGACCCACUCUAUAUCGAGGAAAUGUAAUUUCAAAUAUUUGAAGUUUCUCAAUAUUUCCAUUUUCUUUAAAAAA